RNAcentral lists this ribosomal RNA (460 nucleotides) under uncultured bacterium. RNAcentral's name for it is "partial 16S ribosomal RNA". It matches the Rfam family "Bacterial small subunit ribosomal RNA", at positions 338 to 795 of the family's 1533-position model. The record is from RNAcentral.
CCUACGGGAGGCAGCAGUGAGGAAUAUUGGUCAAUGGACGAGAGUCUGAACCAGCCAAGUAGCGUGAAGGAUGACUGCCCUAUGGGUUGUAAACUUCUUUUAUAUGGGAAUAAAAUGUUCCACGUGUGGGAUUUUGUAUGUACCAUAUGAAUAAGGAUCGGCUAACUCCGUGCCAGCAGCCGCGGUAAUACGGAGGAUCCGAGUGUUAUCCGGAUUUAUUGGGUUUAAAGGGAGCGUAGGUGGAUUGUUAAGUCAGUUGUGAAAGUUUGCGGCUCAACCGUAAAAUUGCAGUUGAAACUGGCAGUCUUGAGUACAGUAGAGGUGGGCGGAAUUCGUGGUGUAGCGGUGAAAUGCUUAGAUAUCACGAAGAACUCCGAUUGCGAAGGCAGUUCACUGGACUGCAACUGACACUGAGGCUCGAAAGUGUGGGUAUCAAACAGGAUUAGAUACCCGAGUAAUC